AGUGAACGCUGGCGGUAGGCCUAACACAUGCAAGUCGAACGGCAGCACAGUAAGAGCUUGCUCUUACGGGUGGCGAGUGGCGGACGGGUGAGGAAUACAUCGGAAUCUACUUUUUCGUGGGGGAUAACGUAGGGAAACUUACGCUAAUACCGCAUACGACCUACGGGUGAAAGCAGGGGAUCUUCGGACCUUGCGCGAUUGAAUGAGCCGAUGUCGGAUUAGCUAGUUGGCGGGGUAAAGGCCCACCAAGGCGACGAUCCGUAGCUGGGCUGAGAGGAUGAUCAGCCACACUGGAACUGAGACACGGUCCAGACUCCUACGGGAGGCAGCAGUGGGGAAUAUUGGACAAUGGGCGCAAGCCUGAUCCAGCCAUACCGCGUGGGUGAAGAAGGCCUUCGGGUUUUAAAGCCCUUUUGUUGGGAAAGAAAAGCAGCAGGUUAAUACCCCGCUGUUCUGACGGUACCCAAAGAAUAAGCACCGGCUAACUUCGUG
Molecule: ribosomal RNA, 492 nt
Filed under: uncultured bacterium
Lineage: Bacteria
Description: partial 16S ribosomal RNA
Rfam family: Bacterial small subunit ribosomal RNA
Source: RNAcentral